AACGAACGCUGGCGGCAUGCCUAACACAUGCAAGUCGAACGAGAACUUCGGGUCUAGUGGCGCACGGGUGCGUAACGCGUGGGAACCUGCCCUUAGGUUCGGAAUAACUCCCCGAAAGGGGUGCUAAUACCGGAUAAUGUCUUCGGACCAAAGAUUUAUCGCCUUUGGAUGGGGCCGCGUUGGAUUAGCUAGUUGGUAGGGUAAAAGCCUAUCAAGGCGACGAUCCAUAGCUGGUCUGAGAGGAUGAUCAGCCACACUGGGACUGAGACACGGCCCAGACUCCUACGGGAGGCAGCAGUAGGGAAUAUUGGACGAUGGGCGAAAGCCUGAUCCAGCAAUGCCGCGUGAGUGAUGAAGGCCUUAGGGUUGUAAAGCUCUUUUACCCGGGAUGAUAAUGACAGUACCGGGAGAAUAAGCACCGGCUAACUCCGUG
Molecule: ribosomal RNA, 433 nt
Filed under: uncultured bacterium
Lineage: Bacteria
Description: partial 16S ribosomal RNA
Rfam family: Bacterial small subunit ribosomal RNA
Source: RNAcentral